CAAGCUAUAGCUCCCACAUCUCUCGCUCUGCGGAUCAGAGCCUUCAUCGGAGGACACGCUCCCCAUACUAUAAUCAAGAUCCAACGCUCCAAAACUAAAACUCAAAAAAAAAAAAAAAAAUCUGGUUAAACCAGUUGUCUUAUACCAAUUCAAUGCCUGGCCUUCCAAACUCAAAAUUCUCAAUCUUCAUAUAUAGAAACCCAUAUUCUCAUUUGACAUGCUUAAUGAACCAAUUCAACAUGUCUAAAUGAGCUUCUUCAGCAAUCUUGACAGCUGAAUCAUCCUCAUCAUUAUACUUCAUUGUCCAUCCAUGAGCAACACCAGGGAAUAUCUUUACAUAACUCUGAAUCUCGUCUUUUGUUGCUAAAAUUUCUCCUAUUUGUUUCAGUUGUUCAGCUGAGAAAAUACUAUCAAAUUCAGCACCCAAUAUAGCAGUUGGAACGUUAACAGCUUUGAUUUCAUCAACUGUAAUCGGACCAGGAUGCAAUAUCACUGCAGCCUGAAUAUCAUCACAACUCGCUAGUUUCACUACCACCAUUCCGCCCCAGCAAAAACCUGCAGCCCCUAUUGCAGAAAUGCCUCUGCUUUUAAGUGCAGCAAUGACUUUUUUGGCAUCUUCACAUCCUUUAACUGUGUCAUGAUUUUUCAUCCAGGUGUCUCGAUCAAAUUGAGGAUUACUUGGUUCAGCCGGAUCUCCAUAGAGAAAAUCAGGAACCACUACAAGGAAUCCAGCUGCUGCAACUUUGUCUGCAAGCUUCCUUAAAUUUGGUGCUUCAAACCCUGCAAAAUGUUUUAGAAGACAAUAAAAUCAUUCCUCUGUAAUUAAAGAUACCAAAUUAACUUUCUUUCCCUACUAAGAGAUAACUGGACCUUAUAGUGACCUAUAAAGCUCUGAACCUGAGGAAAGUAAACCAUAUGGAAAUAGAUGCAAUAAGAAGAUUAUUGAAGAAAGUAGAGAUGGGCCAUUACCAAAGGCGUCGUUAGCUAGAAGGAUGGCAAGCUUAGAAUCAGGAGGACCAGUGACAUAAGUCUUGAGGCCACCCAGUUCCUUAACUGUACCGACCCCAUAGUUUGGGUUCAGGGUUGGUGGAUUCUCCAAGCAUUGAGAGCUCGACAUGUCUCACACAAUAGAUGAUUCUGUGGGAAAAUGGUUGGCCAGUCCACCCCCACUUAUCAAAGAAUUUGUACGACUCAUUGAAGUUCCGUGAGUAGCAAACCAAUUGAAGCUACCAACUGGACCCCACUCAU
RNAcentral lists this unclassified non-coding RNA (1248 nucleotides) under Hevea brasiliensis (rubber tree). Lineage: Eukaryota; Viridiplantae; Streptophyta; Magnoliopsida; Malpighiales; Euphorbiaceae. The record is from RNAcentral.